UACGGGAGGCAGCAGUGGGGAAUAUUGCACAAUGGGCGAAAGCCUGAUGCAGCUAUGCCGCGUGUAUGAAGAAGGCCUUCGGGUUGUAAAGUACUUUCAGCGGGGAGGAAGGCGAUGUGGUUAAUAACCGCGUCGAUUGACGUUACCCGCAGAAGAAGCACCGGCUAACUCCGUGCCAGCAGCCGCGGUAAUACGGAGGGUGCAAGCGUUAAUCGGAAUUACUGGGCGUAAAGCGCACGCAGGCGGUCUGUUAAGUCAGAUGUGAAAUCCCCGGGCUUAACCUGGGAACUGCAUUUGAAACUGGCAGGCUUGAGUCUCGUAGAGGGGGUAGAAUUCCAGGUGUAGCGGUGAAAUGCGUAGAGAUCUGGAGGAAUACCGGUGGCGAAGGCGGCCCCUGGGACGAGACUGACGCUCAGGGUGCGAAAGCGUGGGGAGCAAACGAGGAUUAGAUACC
RNAcentral lists this ribosomal RNA (454 nucleotides) under uncultured bacterium. Its description in RNAcentral is "bacterial SSU rRNA". It matches the Rfam family "Bacterial small subunit ribosomal RNA", at positions 340 to 786 of the family's 1533-position model. The record is from RNAcentral.